UUUGACCAACUUUCCGGCCCUGGGUGGACGUUGCCGACCUCCCUGGGCCAGUCCGAAGGCCUCACUGAGCCAUUCAAUCGGUAGUAGCGACGGGCGGUGUGUACAAAGGGCAGGAAAGUAAACUUUCAACAACGGAUCUCUUGGUUCUGGCAUCGAUGAAGAACGCAGCGAAAUGCGAUAAGUAAUGUGAAUUGCAGAAUUCAGUGAAUCAUCGAAUCUUUGAACGCACAUUGCGCCCUUUGGUAUUCCGAAGGGCAUGCCUGUUCGAGCGUCAUUUCACCACUCAAGCCUGGCUUGGUAUUGGGCGUCGCGGUUCUUCGCGCGCCUUAAAGNCUUCCGGCUGAGCUGUCCGUCUCUAAGCGUUGUGGAUUUUUCAAUUCGCUUCGGAGUGCGGGUGGCCACGGCCGUUAAAUCUUUACUCAAAGGUUGACCUCGGAUCA
RNAcentral lists this small RNA (440 nucleotides) under Pseudocercospora sp. 4 MS-2015. Its description in RNAcentral is "eukaryotic LSU rRNA". The stretch from base 121 to 274 matches the Rfam family "5.8S ribosomal RNA". Lineage: Eukaryota; Fungi; Ascomycota; Dothideomycetes; Mycosphaerellales; Mycosphaerellaceae. The record is from RNAcentral.